AACGCGAAGAACCUUACCAAGGCUUGACAUACACCAGAACGGGCCAGAAAUGGUCAACUCUUUGGACACUGGUGAACAGGUGGUGCAUGGUUGUCGUCAGCUCGUGUCGUGAGAUGGUGGGUUAAGUCCCGUAACGAGCGCAACCCUUGUCCUUAGUUACCAGCACGUCAUGGUGGGCACUCUAAGGAGACUGCCGGUGACAAACCGGAGGAAGGUGGGGAUGACGUCAAGUCAUCAUGGCCCUUACGGCCUGGGCUACACACGUGCUACAAUGGUCGGUACAGAGGGUUGCCAAGCCGCGAGGUGGAGCUAAUCUCACAAAACCGAUCGUAGUCCGGAUCGCAGUCUGCAACUCGACUGCGUGAAGUCGGAAUCGCUAGUAAUCGCAAAUCAGAAUGUUGCGGUGAAUACGUUCCCGGGCCUUGUACACACCG
RNAcentral lists this ribosomal RNA (434 nucleotides) under uncultured Pseudomonas sp. Its description in RNAcentral is "bacterial SSU rRNA". It matches the Rfam family "Bacterial small subunit ribosomal RNA", at positions 958 to 1392 of the family's 1533-position model. Lineage: Bacteria; Pseudomonadati; Pseudomonadota; Gammaproteobacteria; Pseudomonadales; Pseudomonadaceae. The record is from RNAcentral.